This 784-nucleotide unclassified non-coding RNA is filed under the name Bromus pumpellianus (Arctic brome). Its description in RNAcentral is "partial miscellaneous RNA". The record is from RNAcentral. Lineage: Eukaryota; Viridiplantae; Streptophyta; Magnoliopsida; Poales; Poaceae.
GACCGGUGUUGGCUAUCAACGUGCAUGAGUAGCAUUGGACACGUGUCUGCCGGUAGAUCCCCCGUUGUACUUCGGCCGACUACCGGCGCCGUGUCCCGUCACUCUUGUGGCAUUGUCCCGAUGGAUUGAACCAGUGGCUUGCGUGCUAGUACCCGACCUACGGGAAGUGGUGCUUCGUAUAAUUGUUGCCUCACGGUGGACGCCCUUUGGGUGUGCCAUUGUGACCGAAUAGCGCUUGCGGCGUUGCCUCGUACAACAUCCAUAUAAUGUGCAUGUUGAUAUCACGGCAACCUCGCUCUCGCUUUUGGUCUAGGAUGCUGCUCACGAUAAAGGCUCGAGGCCCUUCGGGUUGCCUCGAUCCGAAACAAUGUUCUCUCUCCGAAAUGGCGAUAACCGGGUACAUGUCUUGCCUCUACCUCUCCACAGUUACGUGGUAGGAUACGCAACCCUAUGAUCCGGCCCUCAUGGAGGAGGAGACAUGCUCUCUCCGAAAUGGCGAUAACCGGGUACAUGUCUUGCCUCUACCUCUCCACAGUUACGUGGUAGGAUACGCAACCCUAUGAUCCGGCCCUCAUGGAUGAUGAGACAUUCACAAUGCUCUCUCUGAAAUGGCGAUAACCGGGUACAUGUCUUGCCUCUACCUCUCCACAGUUACGUGGUAGGAUAUGCAACCCUAUGAUCCGGCCCUCAUGGAGGAUGAGACAUGCCCGCUCAAAAGCGACAACUGGCUCGGCUGUUGCAUUUGUCUUUCCACGCAAGUGGCAAUUGCAGGGUAACUACCGAC